ACGAUGAAGAGUUUGAUCCUGGCUCAGGAUGAACGCUAGCGGCAGGCUUAACACAUGCAAGUCGAGGGGUAUAGUUCUUCGGAAUUAGAGACCGGCGCACGGGUGCGUAACGCGUAUGCAAUCUACCUUUUACAGAGGGAUAGCCCAGAGAAAUUUGGAUUAAUACCUCAUAGUAUAGUACAAUCGCAUGAUUGAACUAUUAAAGUCACAAC
This 212-nucleotide non-coding RNA is filed under the name Flavobacterium sp. A45. Its description in RNAcentral is "Bacterial small subunit ribosomal RNA". It matches the Rfam family "Bacterial small subunit ribosomal RNA", at positions 1 to 213 of the family's 1533-position model. The record is from Rfam by way of RNAcentral. Lineage: Bacteria; Pseudomonadati; Bacteroidota; Flavobacteriia; Flavobacteriales; Flavobacteriaceae.